GAUGAAGAGCGCAGUGAAAUGCGAUAAUUAAUGUGAAUUGCAGAAUUCCGUGAAUCAUCGAGUCUUUGAACGCACAUUGCGCCUCAUGGCAUUCCGUGAGGCAUGCCCAUCUCAGCGUUAGAAAAUAUUCUCAAAUUUUAGUUUUGUGCUAAAAUUUGGAUCAUGUCAAGGAAGCUAUUACUAUUAUUGUGAUCGCUCUUUGGAAAUUGAUAGGUCUUUGAGUUGCUACUCAUAGAACGUGAUGAAUCUUUCUUCGUUCUAUUGUAAUUCACUCUGGUAGUCCUAAAACUUGUAUGCCUGUGGCAUAUCUUGUAAUUUGACCUGAGAUUGGGUAGGGAUACCCGCUGAACUUAAGCAUAUCAAUAAGCGGAGGA
Molecule: unclassified non-coding RNA, 374 nt
Filed under: soil metagenome
Description: partial contains internal transcribed spacer 2 and large subunit ribosomal RNA
Rfam family: 5.8S ribosomal RNA (bases 1-120)
Source: RNAcentral